CAUGCUAUUAUGAAGCGUAUAAAAAUUGCAUUAGAAAAGUGAAAUAUCACCUCAGACAUUUUAAGUUUAUAUAUAGUUAUCAUAUAUCAUGCUAUUUUAUGUUAUUUCUAGUAGAGGUGGACAUCUUUUUCUUUUUUUGAGUUUAUACAGUUUGUCUUUUUUUUUCUAGCACGUAUGGAAAUUGCUUUAGAAGGCUCCAAUAAGUAAUCUAUACCUAAUAAUAAAUUGUGAAAAAUUCAGUCCACCAUAUCUUUAUAUGUUCACUAGGCCUUUCAUCGAUGUCCGAGGUGAUAUUUCACUUUCAAUUUUAAUAAUAACAUAAGUGGUAAUUUUGAUAUAAAUUUAAAAUGUCACUUACAUUUGCAUAAAGAUUAUCCACACAUGCUAUUAUGAAGCGUAUAAAAAUUGCAUUAGAAAAGUGAAAUAUCACCUCAGACAUUUUAAGUUUAUAUAUAGUUAUCAUAUAUCAUGCUAUUUUAUGUUAUUUCUAGUAGAGGUGGACAUCUUUUUCUUUUUUUGAGUUUAUACAGUUUGUCUUUUUUUUUUCUAGCACGUAUGGAAAUUGCUUUAGAAGGCUCCAAUAAGUAAUCUAUACCUAAUAAUAAAUUGUGAAAAAUUCAGUCCACCAUAUCUUUAUAUGUUCACUAGGCCUUUCAUCGGUGUCCGUAUAAAUAUAUGACUAUAUAGGACUAUGUUCAUCUUGUUCGGAUCUGGUUUCCUAUUAUUUUUUAACUUAUUUUUUGUUUAUGGUACAAGAACUCCUGGUCCAAUAAGGAUAGGGGGGAAAAGGAAAGUUAUGUGCUAAAUCUAACUCGGAAGCCUAACACGAGUUUAAAUCAGUUUUAAAACGAAACAAGCGAAUAGCUAGACUCAACCAAAAUCCAAAACAGAGCUCGACCAAAAUUAUCUUUAUUCUUAUAAGAAAAUAUAUAGUUACUUCAAAGAAAAAAAAAUUCACGGACACUAGGGGGGAGAAGGGAGCGACUCUUUUAGACCCAAGGUACGCAACAUCUAUGAGCCGGAGAGAAAAAAUAAAGUAAAGAAGAAAAUAAAAAUAAAGAUCCAAUCCAAACUCAAGUAAUCAUGCUGAACUCGGACAGAACACUGGUGAUUGGCAAAAAUAAAUAAAUAAAAUAAAGACGAAAACAAAAAAGAUCCAAUCCAAACUCAGGCAAUCAUGGUGAACUCGGACAGAACACUGGUGAUUGGCCGCAUGAAAAAAAUUGGGUGCCAAAAAUUUUGGCUUUUUAGUAUU
Molecule: long non-coding RNA, 1255 nt
Filed under: Sorghum bicolor (sorghum)
Lineage: Eukaryota; Viridiplantae; Streptophyta; Magnoliopsida; Poales; Poaceae
Description: long non-coding RNA (SBIC_LNC007487)
Source: RNAcentral